AUGUCUUUGAUCCCAAGCCUGGUUUACUCUGUUGCUCUUCUCUCGCUCUUUGUACUAGUGAAUGCCAGACCAACUUGGGCAUUUGGUCUUCUCACAACUAUGAGUACAAGGGUGCAGCAUUUUCUGGACACUUACACUUCACAUGCAAGUUUUCUCGAGAUAGUUCAGUUGGCCGCUUUCCCUUUCAGUUCCUUAUACUUCUCCAGACUUGCAGAAUUGAGAUAUAUUUCCCUGGGAUCCAUUGCUCACUGUUUCUAUGGUGGUUCCCAUCUGAUACAAGAUCUUCAUGAAUGGACACCUCGUAUCACAAUGUAUAAGCAGGUGCGGAUGUUCAUAGGAUGGCUCAAUUAUGUGAUGAAUCAUCAAUCUCAAGGCAGCAUAGGAACUGCAGUCAUAUUGUUGCAACAUCUCCAGCCUACUAACCAGCUGCUCGGUUCUUUCUGGUCAUGGGCACAAGCAAAAGGAAAGGUAGACCACUACACAAGUUAUGUGCGUGAGUGUUCUUGCUAUCUUUUAUCUAUCAUUUUCUCUGGGUAUCUGGUCAGUGGAGAGCCCAAAUAUUGCACUUGCCUGCUUGCUUUCAAGGACACUGGUUGGCUCAGAUGUAUCAUGUGUGUCCACAAGAUGUCCUACUCUGCAGUUGCAACUCCUUUUGGCAGUGAAAUCAAGUUCCGUUCCUCUGAUCUGACCAUUUGCAAGCGCAUGAUACUACCCUAUGAUCCAGGAGGGUUGGCUCUUCAGCCAGAUGAGAUAGGAGGCACUCAUGGGUCCAACUUGAUCAUCAUCGGCUUGAGGGCAAGCCGAAUUUCAAGGGGUGGAGAGUGUAACACCCCCAAUAUGGGCUGCCACGAUAUGUAUGUAACAUGGGCCUUGGCUACGAGAUGGGCUGGUCAUCGGAGGCUUGGUCGCACACACAAGCUACAUAUGCAACCGGCAAGCACAGGAGGAGGGCAUCGAAGGAAUGAAUCGUUCUCCAAGUCUCUCGUCCCCUGGCUCCAGUUCCUCACCUCCUGCUCUCUCUAUUCCUCUCUUUGCUUGCUGAUUCUCACCCCCGAUUCUCCCUGUAUCCCCCAAUUUAUACCCGAAUAUUGGUACUAA
RNAcentral lists this ribosomal RNA (1098 nucleotides) under Triticum aestivum (bread wheat). RNAcentral's name for it is "partial small subunit ribosomal RNA". The record is from RNAcentral. Lineage: Eukaryota; Viridiplantae; Streptophyta; Magnoliopsida; Poales; Poaceae.